Molecule: non-coding RNA, 269 nt
Organism: Schizosaccharomyces pombe (fission yeast)
Lineage: Eukaryota; Fungi; Ascomycota; Schizosaccharomycetes; Schizosaccharomycetales; Schizosaccharomycetaceae
Source: the annotation of a GenBank genome assembly
UUUUCUACUUAUGUACAUUAUUAAUAUCAAAGGAUUACCUAGAUUCAAUUGGUGAUGCGUAAUUAAUAUCAAGACACACUGUUGGUAUGCCACAGUUGUGAAUUGGAUAGGGGAUAAGAGAAAGUUCAAAAUGUUAGGUUUUGGCUUCAUUCGUUUUAAAAGUUUAUCAAAAAUUUUCAGGAUCAAUAAAGUGCUUCCGAAUACUUAGCUUGUUAAAUUAGCUGGACAAAAAGAAAAUCAGGAAGAAAAUGUUAGCCAAAUGAUUAUUU